RNAcentral lists this ribosomal RNA (492 nucleotides) under uncultured bacterium. RNAcentral's name for it is "partial 16S ribosomal RNA". It matches the Rfam family "Bacterial small subunit ribosomal RNA", at positions 29 to 507 of the family's 1533-position model. The record is from RNAcentral.
AGUGAACGCUGGCGGUAUGCCUAAUACAUGCAAGUCGAACGGCCGCAUAGUAAGCGUUCGCCCUUACGGUUGGCGAGUGGCGGACGGGUGAGACAUACAUCGCAUACUACUAAUUCGUGGGGGACAACGUAAGGACACUUCCGCUACUACCGCAUAUGACCUACGGGUUAAAGCAGUGGAUCUUCGCACUUUGCGUGACUCAUAGAGCUGAUGUCGCAUUAGCUAGUUGGCGAGGUAAAGGCCCACCAAGGCGACGAUACGUAGCUGAUCUGAGAGGAUGAUCAGCCACACUGGAACUGAGACACGGUCCAGACUCCUACGGGAGGCAGCAGUGGGGAAUCUUGGACAAAGGGCGAAAGCCUGAUGCAGCAAUACCGCGUGGGUGAUGAAGGCCUUCGGAUUGUAAAACCCUUUUAUUGGGAAAGAAAAGCUGCGUAAUAAUCCCCCGCUGUUUUGACGGUACCUAAAGAGUAAGCACCGGCUAACUUCGUG